CAGUCGCCACGGGAAUACGUAGGGUGCGAGCGUUAAUCGGAAUUACUGGGCGUAAAGCGUGCGCAGGCGGUUAUAUAAGACAGAUGUGAAAUCCCCGGGCUCAACCUGGGACCUGCAUUUGUGACUGUAUAGCUAGAGUACGGUAGAGGGGGAUGGAAUUCCGCGUGUAGCAGUGAAAUGCGUAGAUAUGCGGAGGAACACCGAUGGCGAAGGCAAUCCCCUGGACCUGUACUGACGCUCAUGCACGAAAGCGUGGGGAGCAAACAGGAUUAGAUACCCCUGUAGUCCCUGUCUCUUAUAC
Molecule: ribosomal RNA, 301 nt
Filed under: uncultured bacterium
Lineage: Bacteria
Description: partial 16S ribosomal RNA
Rfam family: Bacterial small subunit ribosomal RNA
Source: RNAcentral